GGGCCCGCACAAGCGGAGGAACAUGUGGUUUAAUUCGAUGAUACGCGAGGAACCUUACCCGGGUUUGAAUUGCUGAUGUCGGUAUUUGGAGACAGAUACUUCCCUUCGGGGCGUCAGUGAAGGUGCUGCAUGGUUGUCGUCAGCUCGUGCCGUGAGGUGUCGGCUUAAGUGCCAUAACGAGCGCAACCCUUGCCGUUAGUUGCCAUCGGGUCAUGCCGGGCACUCUAUUGGGACUGCCAUCGUAAGAUGUGAGGAAGGUGGGGAUGACGUCAAAUCAGCACGGCCCUUAUGUCCGGGGCGACACACGUGUUACAAUGGGGGGUACAGUGGGAAGCUACCUGGCGACAGGUUGCGGAUCCCCAAAUCCUUUCUCAGUUCGGAUCGGAGUCUGUAACUCGACUCCGUGAAGUUGGAUUCGCUAGUAAUCGCGCAUCAGCCAUGGCGCGGUGAAUACGUUCCCGGGCCUU
Molecule: ribosomal RNA, 467 nt
Filed under: uncultured bacterium
Lineage: Bacteria
Description: bacterial SSU rRNA
Rfam family: Bacterial small subunit ribosomal RNA
Source: RNAcentral